This 800-nucleotide ribosomal RNA is filed under the name Halomonas sp. Its description in RNAcentral is "bacterial SSU rRNA". It matches the Rfam family "Bacterial small subunit ribosomal RNA", at positions 67 to 864 of the family's 1533-position model. Lineage: Bacteria; Pseudomonadati; Pseudomonadota; Gammaproteobacteria; Oceanospirillales; Halomonadaceae. The record is from RNAcentral.
CGGUAACAGGUCCAGCUUGCUGGAUGCUGACGAGCGGCGGACGGGUGAGUAACGCAUAGGAAUCUACCCGGUAGUGGGGGAUAACCUGGGGAAACCCAGGCUAAUACCGCAUACGUCCUACGGGAGAAAGGGGGCUUAGGCUCCCGCUAUUGGAUGAGCCUAUGCCGGAUUAGCUGGUUGGUGAGGUAAUGGCUCACCAAGGCGACGAUCCGUAGCUGGUCUGAGAGGAUGAUCAGCCACAUCGGGACUGAGACACGGCCCGAACUCCUACGGGAGGCAGCAGUGGGGAAUAUUGGACAAUGGGGGCAACCCUGAUCCAGCCAUGCCGCGUGUGUGAAGAAGGCCCUCGGGUUGUAAAGCACUUUCAGCGAGGAAGAACGCCUGUCGGUUAAUACCCGGCAGGAAAGACAUCACUCGCAGAAGAAGCACCGGCUAACUCCGUGCCAGCAGCCGCGGUAAUACGGAGGGUGCAAGCGUUAAUCGGAAUUACUGGGCGUAAAGCGCGCGUAGGUGGCUUGAUAAGCCGGUUGUGAAAGCCCCGGGCUCAACCUGGGAACGGCAUCCGGAACUAUUAGGCUAGAGUGCAGGAGAGGAAGGUAGAAUUCCCGGUGUAGCGGUGAAAUGCGUAGAGAUCGGGAGGAAUACCAGUGGCGAAGGCGGCCUUCUGGACUGACACUGACACUGAGGUGCGAAAGCGUGGGUAGCAAACAGGAUUAGAUACCCUGGUAGUCCACGCCGUAAACGAUGUCGACCAGCCGUUGGGUGCCUAGCGCACUUUGUGGCGAAGUUAACGCGAUAAG